AACCCCAUCAGCUACAAAAGAACAGAACAAAUCUGCUGUUUCCUUCCUGUUAACUACUUAAACCAAAACCUGAAAGUUUCACUCUGGGGCUGAGGACUGCAAUUGCCAUUCCUGGGAAACGUGGCAGAGGGAGGGAUCUGAGCUGGUGUUUUUUUCUUUUAAAGUAGAAAUCCAAAUUGCCUUUGUUGAGCCAGGGGGGUCGGCAGUGGAAAAACAUCAAGGCAGCAGCAAAGCAGCUCCUGCUGACUCAACAGAGCCCUCACCCUGCUCACUGCUGAGCAUCCAAAAGCAGCACACAGCAACUCUUUGUCUUGACCUAUAAGUAAGAGUGCUCAGACAUACGCAAGGAGAAGGAAAAAAAAAAAAACCCAAAAACAACCCAAACACAACUGAAACAAAUAAUUACGCCUGCUGACAGGACUCAAUCUAAUUACAGCUCCAAUCUCGAGCCCUGCCCAAGAGGAGGAGUGCACAGCAGCACUCGAUGUGGCAAAUUUUGCUGCAGCUUUGUCCCACAGACCAGCAGAGCAGGGAGGGAUCCACCCCUGGAUCACGGCAGCUUAUUGCAUCAGGCACUGCUGCAGGAAGAUAGGCUGCUCCCUCUCCAUAGGCUGAGUCCCUUAGGUUUAAUUAAACCACUUCUCCUGGAGCUGCCAGACACAGACUCCUGCAUCCAGAGGCAUCAACCACCCCGAUCUUUGUUAUCCCCUCCCUUUCCUCCUGUGAGAAUAUCUCUGGGAAUUACUACAGCCAGUUGUACAACACAAUAUGUGUGGCCCCAGCUGGACAAUUUUUUUUUCCCUUGGUGCCCCACAUCCCAGUUUAAACCCCUGAAAAGAAGGGGUGCGUUGGUACUCACAGGCAAAUGACAGCACCCAGGAUUUUAAACUAAAUAAAUUGGCUGGUUCUAGAGAUCAUUGCUUUAUUUACAAGCAGCUCUCUUGCCAAGGCAUUAUGCUGUACAGUGAUUCAUAAUAAAAACUCACUGAAGUGCUGGCAUAAUUAGAGGGCCAUAAAUCCACUCAUUUAAUGGGGAAACACACGCACAAAUCUGCGAAUACAAGGGACACACGCAUAGCUAAGGAGAAUAAUAUGGAUUCAGCCACUUAAAGGAGGCACAUGGGGGACACACAGGUCUGGCAGGUGGUGAAGAGAGGAAAAGGAACUGCGCAAGAUCCAUUACCGUACACAGCCGGAGUGCCAAGGUUUAUUUAGGAAACGAAGAGACAACCAAACCCUUCUCAGGUACGAGGGGUUAUAGAGGUAAAAGGAGGGAGAUGGGAUGAGAAUGCGAUGCAGCCCCAGCCAAAAGGACACAUCACCCACCUAGAUUAAUGAGAAUGAUGAAAUGGAAAAUACGCAAAGGAAUUACCAUCCCUUACUGCAUCAGGCAAAUAUGCAACUCCAGAGAAUGUCAUUUACCUCCGAAACUCAGCUCGGAGGGGACAUCACCGAGUGACCCCGAAGGGACGAGGGACACGAGGAGGGGCCCUAGGGCAGGGCACGGGGAGCCAGCCCGGGCGCAGCCAGCCCGGGAGGGGACACCCAGAAGGCUUCCUCCCCUCCUCAGUGGCAGAGGCUUGGUCCCCAGGGCAGGACUGCAGGAUGGAGAUGGGCCAGACUGGUGUCUUGAGCCUUUUCCCCUGGAUGAAAUCCUGCCUUGCACAGGGUGCUGACCCCUGCAACGCCUCUCCUUGGAAAAAAAAAAACAUGCCUGGGACCAGUUCCAGCACUGUCACCAGCUGGAAGAGAGUUAUCAAAUCUGUGAGGGCAUGGGAAUGCUGCAUGUGAAGAUUUGGGAUCCCCAAGCAUGAGCACCUGCAGCCCUGAUGUCUACAGCUCAGCCCAUCCUCAUCCUCUCUGCUCUUCUCACCAGGGGACGGUCAGGGACUCACAGAUUUACUUCCAUAUCACUGACAAGCCACAACACCUGUUCUCCAGAGACUGGGACCACCAAAAAGUCUGAUCUGUUUGGUCACACCCUCCCAACAGCUCGGACCCUGAUGAUCUCCCAGGUCUGGGUGUGCAAGAGCUCUGAUGGAAAUUCAUUAUGAUUUCCUGACCCUUCCCCUGCCAUGAAUUUAAAUUUCCCAAA
Poecile atricapillus (Black-capped chickadee) is the source of this 2095-nucleotide long non-coding RNA. RefSeq lists it as uncharacterized. NCBI's taxonomy places the organism in Eukaryota, Metazoa, Chordata, Aves, Passeriformes, Paridae. The transcript is spliced from 4 exons. The record is from RefSeq and is a predicted model, not a curated record.